GACGGAUCAGAGUGGACUGUCUUAAUUCAAAAUAGAGAAAUGAACAUUAAUAUACAGGUAAGAUCAUGCAUGUUCAUGUUAUAAUGUAAAUAAGGAAUAGUAUUGAAUGUGGUUUCUGCUAUGCAUGUUCAUUUUGUGUGUGUGUGUGUGUAGUAUUAGUAGUAUUAGUAGUAGUAGUAGUAGUAGUAGUAGUAGUAGUAGUAGUAUUCACAGUGUGUAGCACUCCAGGUUGUGUGGGUACCAGCCCAAACCAGACAGUUGAAGCAGGCUCUAACGUCCAUCUGUCCUGCCUCCUCACUCAGUGUUUGAGAAGUCUGGAACAUCACCAUCUCCUUGUGGAGUGGGAGUUCACUGACAAGGGCUGGCUGGAUAAAGAGCUGCACCCUCUCAUCUACCAUUACCAAGACCGGACUGUGCCUGUUGAAGCCAGAGUGAUUCUGGUCAGGGACAUCUCUGAAUGUGACUUCUCCGUCCUGCUGCUGUCGGUGACAGUCCAACGUAGUGGCACCUACCUGUGUCUCCUGUGUCCUCCACCUGGCAGACAUCCAUGAGAGUCACACACAGUUCAGAGAGGGUGCCACAGGAGUUUCCCAGGACAUUUCCAUAAACCUGAUGUAACCCAUCCUGAUUGGCUGUUGCCUCUGGCGGGUGCUGGUUUUGCUCUGCCUGGUGGGCUGAGUCACACCGGGAAUGUGGGCGUGUCGUAGGAGGUCACAGCGGUGAGACAAUGCUGAGAGAAACCAGCAGACUUCCCUCUUCUGCAGGGCCAAGAGGACCUGGCCUUGAUGUCAGUGAUCCUCCACAGAGACGAGGGAGAGAUGGCUCACGCCAGCAUCCAGCCGGACCAGGAGGCCAGGAGGCAACUGCAUUCUCCCCAUCCAGGAGACUGUUCAUAAAGUAGCUACAGAUUGUACACCAGAUAAUGUGAUAUAACCAAAGAUUUUUGGUAUCCAUUAAUGGGCAUUUCAGGUUUGCCUAUACACAACGUUGCCAUAGAUUUUUCAACUAACCUAGUAUUGGUGAUACAAUCCUCAUUCUCGAUGCGGCCGAACAUGUAUCUUCUAAAAUGUCAGUGUCCAACUGCAGGUGGUUUGUUUGAAUUGAAUUGUACGUUGGGAAGAAAUUAGCGUUUGAUAUAUUGUCUCACAUUACAACCGCCAAAAGGACCAAGCGCACAGACAACCGGUAAAGUACGUUAAAAUAUCAUUAAAUUCAACAUUCUUGCUUGUAGAGGUUGUGAGAGGAAACUUUCCUGAUUCAAUGCAAUUCAGCAUCGGUAUACAGACAAAGACAUGGUAGGCUAUCAUAUAUCUUGCCCAAAGUGCCAAAGCUCUUUGAAAGUUUCAUCCUCAGAUUUGUCGCCUUAACAGGAUUUCUAAAGUCUGACGGAGGACUUGAGACAGACACCUUGCAAAUUACAAAGAAAAAAAGAACCGCGGUGCUUGGAUCCAAUCGGUUAAACUGUUCUAGGAAGUGGAAGCAAAUCCCACAAUCCUACAAGCUCUAUCUCCCGCUGGGCUGAACAUCCACACCUGCUCUCAUACAUCAAACAGAUACAGUAUCAGUGGUCCUCCUCUGAGGCCUUUUCAAGGUGCAGUGGAGUGGAGUGCUUAAGUCAUUUGCCGAUCCAUCUUUUCCCUCAGCACAGGGUCAACCAGUGCACCCACCCACCCCGGCCCCUCACCACGAGUACUACUACUACCACCCUGUCACUCGCUAUAAUUACAUGGCUACCUCCCUUCCAACCAAUAAAGCACAUGGGGCCUAAGAUCUCAACCAAAAAAAAGAGCAAGCAGCUUAAACCACUGCAGUUUGAAGCGUAACUACUAAUCCGAGCACAGGCCGAGUCCAAAACUGAUGGAGGAUAUGCAUGUGAACGACUUCUUUUACAAUACUCUCAUAAUCUAGCGUUAAUUCGGACGUUGUACAUACAUUUUACCAAAGGGUAUGGGCAGGGGAUAUUACAGUUUGUGCAGCUGUCAUUACUACCAGUUGUUGCAAGAGUGUAGAUUGCUGAAGUGUGGAAACAUAUUCUAAAAUAAAUCUGUGAGUCUCUGAAAUCCAACUGAGCAGAAAGCUGUGCAUGUGCCAAUAAACGUGAAAAGACUGAGUAUAAUCCGAUGCAGACACUGCAGAGUAGAGGUGGACUCAUUGUACCAGUAAACUGCAAAAUAAUCCCUUGACUGUGCCUCACAGCAAGCCUAUAAGCCCCUGUGUUUUGUGCAUGUACAAUAUUUAGCCUUUAC
This 2246-nucleotide long non-coding RNA is filed under the name Salmo salar (Atlantic salmon). RNAcentral describes it as "lncRNA (ENSSSAG00000092966.1)". The record is from RNAcentral. Lineage: Eukaryota; Metazoa; Chordata; Actinopteri; Salmoniformes; Salmonidae.